RNAcentral lists this ribosomal RNA (392 nucleotides) under uncultured bacterium. RNAcentral's name for it is "partial 16S ribosomal RNA". It matches the Rfam family "Bacterial small subunit ribosomal RNA", at positions 523 to 918 of the family's 1533-position model. The record is from RNAcentral.
AUACGGAGGAUCCGAGCGUUAUCCGGAUUUAUUGGGUUUAAAGGGUGCGCAGGCGGCCAUUUAAGUCAGCGGUUAAAUCGUGGGGCUCAACCCCAUUCUGCCGUUGAUACUGGGUGGCUUGAUUGCGGUCGAGGUUGGCGGAAUUCGUUGUGUAGCGGUGAAAUGCAUAGAUAUGACGAAGAACACCGAUUGCGUAGGCAGCUGACCAGACCGCAAAUGACGCUCAUGCACGAAAGUGCGGGGAUCGAACAGGAUUAGAUACCCUGGUAGUCCGCACAGUAAACGAUGAAUACUUGUUUUCGGCGAUAUAAUGUCGGAGGCAAGGCGAAAGCGAUAAGUAUUCCACCUGGGGAGUACGCCGGCAACGGUGAAACUCAAAUGAAUUGGCGGGG